GCUAGGAUUACAGGCAUAAGUCCCUGGUGCCCACCUUCAUCUGUAAUGUUGUCAGUACAUUUUGGCUUUCAUUAAGAGUUCUAGGCCUGUGACUGUGACCUACUUUAUCUAAUAAUGGGUCAUAAGACCUUCCUCAU
Perognathus longimembris pacificus (Pacific pocket mouse) is the source of this 137-nucleotide long non-coding RNA. RefSeq lists it as uncharacterized. The record is from RefSeq and is a predicted model, not a curated record. Lineage: Eukaryota; Metazoa; Chordata; Mammalia; Rodentia; Heteromyidae. The transcript has 3 exons.